GACGAACGCUGGCGGCGUGCUUAACACAUGCAAGUCGAACGGAAAGGCCCUGCUUUUGUGGGGUGCUCGAGUGGCGAACGGGUGAGUAACACGUGAGUAACCUGCCCUUGACUUUGGGAUAACUUCAGGAAACUGGGGCUAAUACCGGAUAGGAGCUCCUGCUGCAUGGUGGGGGUUGGAAAGUUUCGGCGGUUGGGGAUGGACUCGCGGCUUAUCAGCUUGUUGGUGGGGUAGUGGCUUACCAAGGCUUUGACGGGUAGCCGGCCUGAGAGGGUGACCGGCCACAAUGGGACUGAGAUACGGCCCAGACUCCUACGGGAGGCAGCAGUGGGGAAUAUUGCACAAUGGGCGGAAGCCUGAUGCAGCAACGCCGCGUGCGGGAUGACGGCCUUCGGGUGGUAAACCGCUUUCGCCUGUGACGAAGCGUGAGUGACGGUAAUGGGUAAAGAAGCACCGGCUAACUACGUG
This 468-nucleotide ribosomal RNA is filed under the name uncultured bacterium. Its description in RNAcentral is "partial 16S ribosomal RNA". It matches the Rfam family "Bacterial small subunit ribosomal RNA", at positions 28 to 507 of the family's 1533-position model. The record is from RNAcentral.